AUCCAGCCAAGGGCCAUCCUAAAUUCUAAUAGAAGUGCCAAAACCAGCGUGUCACCACAAUCCUUGUCGAAGCAAAUCUUUACAAGCCCAAAUACUCCUCCAUGUAAAACUCGAAUUACAACCCGAAGAGGCAUCCAAAAAAAGAAUUAUGAGAAAAAUAUCAUGCUUUAAGAACUUGCUCAACCAUUCAAUGAGGAUUAGGGAGCA
Molecule: unclassified non-coding RNA, 207 nt
Filed under: Hevea brasiliensis (rubber tree)
Lineage: Eukaryota; Viridiplantae; Streptophyta; Magnoliopsida; Malpighiales; Euphorbiaceae
Source: RNAcentral